RNAcentral lists this ribosomal RNA (524 nucleotides) under Enterococcus faecium. RNAcentral's name for it is "bacterial SSU rRNA". It matches the Rfam family "Bacterial small subunit ribosomal RNA", at positions 51 to 537 of the family's 1533-position model. Lineage: Bacteria; Bacillati; Bacillota; Bacilli; Lactobacillales; Enterococcaceae. The record is from RNAcentral.
AUACUGGCAAGUCCGAACGCUUCUUUUUUCCACCGGGAGCUUGCUCCACCGGAAAAAGAGGAGUGGCGAACGGGUGAGUAACACGUGGGUAACCUGCCCAUCAGAAGGGGAUAACACUUGGAAACAGGUGCUAAUACCGUAUAACAAUCGAAACCGCAUGGUUUUGAUUUGAAAGGCGCUUUCGGGUGUCGCUGAUGGAUGGACCCGCGGUGCAUUAGCUAGUUGGUGAGGUAACGGCUCACCAAGGCCACGAUGCAUAGCCGACCUGAGAGGGUGAUCGGCCACAUUGGGACUGAAACACGGCCCAAACUCCUACGGGAGGCAGCAGUAGGGAAUCUUCGGCAAUGGACGAAAGUCUGACCGAGCAACCCCCCGUGAGUGAAAAAGGUUUUCCGAUCGUAAAACUCUGUUGUUAGACAAAAGCAAGGGUGAAAGUAUCUCUGUCAACCCUUGAGACCGUAUCUCCCCAGAGAGCCACGGGUAAAACGCGUGGCAACGCGCGCGGAAAAUACAUGUGAGGAAAA